RNAcentral lists this ribosomal RNA (505 nucleotides) under uncultured bacterium. Its description in RNAcentral is "partial 16S ribosomal RNA". It matches the Rfam family "Bacterial small subunit ribosomal RNA", at positions 28 to 507 of the family's 1533-position model. The record is from RNAcentral.
GACGAACGCUGGCGGCGUGCCUAAUACAUGCAAGUAGAACGCACAGGUUAUACCGUAGCUUGCUACACCAUAGACUGUGAGUUGCGAACGGGGGAGUAACGCGUAGGUAACCUGCCUGGUAGCGGGGGAUAACUAUUGGAAACGAUAGCUAAUACCGCAUAAUAUUAAUUAUUGCAUGAUAAUUAAUUGAAAGGUGCAAUUGCAUCACUACCAGAUGGACCUGCGUUGCAUUAGCUAGUAGGUGAGGUAACGGCUCACCUAGGCGACGAUACAUAGCCGACAUGGUAGGGUGGUCGGCCACACUGGGACUGAGACCCGGCCCAUAGUCCUACGGGAAGGAGCAAGAGGGAAACUUCAGGAAUGGGCGGAAGUCUGACCGCGCAACGCCGCAGGAGUGAAGAAGGUUUUCGGGUCGUAAAGCUCUGUUGUAAGGGAAGAACGGGUGUGAGAGUGGAACGUUCACACUGUGACGGUAUCUGACAAGAAAGGAACGGCUAACUACGUG